CCCACGACAGCUUUUUUUUUUUUUAUCCACGACAGCGUUUAGACCCUAUUUCAUAAAUAAAAGUUAAUGACUAAUUAUUGUGAUUAAUUUAUAAUUAUAAUAUUAAUGUAAUUAUUUAAAUCCCAAUAAUUAACAUGUUAGCCGCCCUAUUAGCUACGCAGUCUACUCUCGCUAACUAAACGUUGCAGAAGCCAUGUCUAUCGUCUCCUUCUUCAUCUUCUUCCUCUUCGGGGGAAUCAUCCGUUCAAUAGCUGGAAAGUCUCACAUCAUCCAUUUCCGGUCCCCUAAUCUCUAUCCAGAGGGCCUUGCCUACGACCCAUCGGCCCAACACUUCAUCGUUGGUUCCUUUCGCGAUCGUACUAUCCACGCUGUAUCGGAUGCGGGCGUCGUCGAAACUCUGAUCUCCGAUCCCUCCCUCCCUCUAAACGCCACCUUUUUGGGCCUGGCAGUAGAUUCGGUCAACAACCGUCUUCUUGCGGUUAUCCACUCCUUUGCCCCACUUCCUCCCUUCAACGCCCUCGCCGCUUACGACCUCCGCACCCGCCAACGCCUGUUUCUCUCCCUCCUACCAGACGGCGACGUCACCUCCACCGAUCGGGCCGCCGCCAAUGCCGUGACCGUCGAUUUUAAGGGAAACGCAUACAUCACCAAUUCAAUGGGCAACUCUGAAGGAAACUUCAUCUGGAAAGUCAACACAGAAGGAGAGGCGUCCAUUUUCUCAAGAUCUCCAAUUUUCAAUCAGCAUCCCGUGGACCGAAACGCACCGUUUAGCUACUGCGGUCUCAACGGGAUUGCUUACGUCAGCAAGGGGUAUCUACUCGUGGUUCAAUCUAACACAGGGAAAAUGUUUAAGGUGGACGCAGAGGAUGGCACGGCGAGGACAGUAUUGUUGAACGAGGAUUUAAAUCUGCCGGAUGGGAUCGCGAUCCGAAGAGACGGCGUCGUCUUGGUGGUGUCCCCGGUUGAGGAUGGUAAGCUAUGGUUCUUGAAAAGCGAUGAUAGUUGGGGAGAGGGAGUGGUUUAUGACAAAAUUGACCUCGAUGCGGAGAGGUUCCCCACUUCAGUUGCAGUGGGAAGAGAUGAUAGGGCAUACGUGGUAUAUGGGAGAGUGAUAGAGAGUAUAAUGGGAAAGGAGGGGAGGGAGUGGUUUGAUAUAGAGGAGGUGAAAUCAGAAAGGGAAAGAAAGGACGAGAAUGUUUGGGUUUUCGUUUUGAUUGGAUUGGGUUUGGCCUAUUUCUUCUUCUGGAGAUUUCAAAUGAAGCAGCUUGUGAAAAAUAUGUAUAAAAAAAAUAAUUAAAUUUUUCCUUUUUUUUUAUGAAUUUUAGAAUGUACACUCUUUUUUUAACUUUCAAAACUGAACUUGGAGUAUAUGAUAAUGAUUUCGAUUUAUGCUUUGUUUUUAAUUUACAUUUAUGUUUUAAGAACGUGUGAGAUCCUCCUUACUUCAUUAAUGCAUUGCCUUCCCAAACUCAAACCGACUUGAAGGUUGAUGAAGCGGUGGCAAAGGCGACGCAGCUGUAUCUCCAGCUACAACGGUUGCUCGAGUUUAGAAUGAUGUGCGGUUAUUGCAUUUUUACUUCUCCUUCAUAUGGCUAGGAUUAGGGAUUUUUUUUUUUUUUUAUACAAGUAUAUGCUUCUUGCUUUUAUAUUCAAGAGGGUUACAGUAGGUCUCAGUCUGAGAAAGAAGGAAAGGAAGAAAAUAGUAGGGGAGGGGGUAAGUUUUUU
Molecule: unclassified non-coding RNA, 1725 nt
Filed under: Hevea brasiliensis (rubber tree)
Lineage: Eukaryota; Viridiplantae; Streptophyta; Magnoliopsida; Malpighiales; Euphorbiaceae
Source: RNAcentral